This 1078-nucleotide long non-coding RNA is filed under the name Marmota monax (woodchuck). The record is from RNAcentral. Lineage: Eukaryota; Metazoa; Chordata; Mammalia; Rodentia; Sciuridae.
UGAAGAAUCAAUAACAGAAAAUAAAAUGAUGCCAGUCAUGUUCAUAUUAACUAUUAUUUAAAUCUGAAUUAGUGGCUACUUUAAUGGAAUGAAUAGAGAAUAGACACUUUGAAAAUAGUAAUUAAUGAGCAUAGGAGGCCUAAAAGUGCCUCCUGUUUCUUGUAAUCCUUUUUAAAAAGAUUAAUGUGGUUUACAUUCAUCUAGACAACUCAGGUAACAACGAAGAAUAGCUUUAACCCUACUUUAUUAUAGCAUGAUUGUAUUCAGUAGUUACUAAGGGACCAUAUGUGUUAGUGGUGUGAGGUUCAUUCUGUGUGUGUGUGUGUGUGUGUGUGUGUGUGUGUUUUAAAUGAGUUUUGUUUGUAGUACUGGAGUUUGAAUCUAGAGGCACUGUACUGUACAACUGAGCUACAUUCUUACCCCUUUCUACUUUUCAUUUUGAGAUAGUGUCUCCCUGAGUUGCUGAAGCUGGCCUUGAACUUAAAUCCUUCUGCCUCAGCCUCCCAUCACUGAGAUUUUAGGUGUGCGCCACCACACCUGGCUACAUAUUAUUUCAUUUGAUGCUUUAAAAUCUGAAGGAUAUACAGAUCGGAAGGGUAAUGAUGCUUUAUGGUGUAACACUCACUUUUGUGACCUAAUCAUUAUCUGUUAAAUAUUCUGCCAGUGGUUCUCAAAGUGUGUUUACCACACCACUAGCAUUCAGCUUCACUUUGAAAUCUGUUAAAAAUCCUAAAUUCUUUGGCCCCACCCAACACUUGAAUUAGAAACUUUUGAGUGUGAAGCCUAGCUAGCAAUCAUUUUAACAAAGUAUAGGUACUUCUGAAGUGGCCAAAGCUUUCAAACUGUUACAUUAUGCAUUUCUAUGUUUUAAGCAAAGAUCUUCAUUUGUCUUUUUGGACAUUGUAUCAAUAUAUAAAAUGUGAACUUUUUUUUUUUUUUUAAAGGCCUUGUCUUUUGCUGUUUUCAUUGCAAAAGAUUGUUAUCAGUAAAAACUUCAUUGUGGACAUUGGCAGCUUGACAUAACCCCAUUAGUUUAGUAUUAUCUCUGGAACUCGAAUCAGUUUUCAUGUCCAGGCGA